RNAcentral lists this long non-coding RNA (822 nucleotides) under Helianthus annuus (common sunflower). RNAcentral's name for it is "hypothetical non coding rna". The record is from RNAcentral. Lineage: Eukaryota; Viridiplantae; Streptophyta; Magnoliopsida; Asterales; Asteraceae.
AUGUCCAUAAACUUUCUGAGUGAUUAUGGAACAACUUGGGUUUUUCCAACAUAAAAUCCCCACAUGAUUUGAUGAUUUCUCAUAGCUUAGAUUGUUUAUAUUAUUGUACUAAUCUUAGUUCAUGACCUUCCUUGUUUGUUCUUACAACAAGUGUAGUGGUGAACGCAUACGAGGUGCCUAAAUGGAAGCUUGUACUUCCUACCUCCUACAUGAUUUCUAUGACACAUUUUGAGGUACCUAAAUGAAGAUGUAAUCUUCUAUCUCAUGCUUGAAAUACUUGAACAUUUGGACUUAAUAAUAUAAACUAUACAACCUAAAUAAUAUCUAUGUACAUUCGAACCUUUGAUGUUGAAUUCAUGUUCACUUGUCAAAGUAGUAGGACAUCAUCUAAGACCUAAACCUUGUUAUGAUUCUUAUGAGUGUUCAACUCAUGAAAACAUUAUUAUAACCCUUGUGGUUACCAAGUGUCAUACAAGUGUUAUGUGUUGAAGAUGAUUAUUUUCACAUGUUAUUCUCAUAUGUUAUUUUCAUAUUAUUUUAUUCCGAAUCUCGACUCUAAACAUACUUGACCUUUAACCCUUACACAUUUAACCUCCUAACCUCAUCAAUUUCGUCAUGUUGGAUAAUCGGAAGAAAUUGCAAUAAUGUUGAUGAUGACGAUGCUAUGAAAAGAAGUAGCGUUGAUGCCUACAUACACAUAUAGACGUUUAGGUUUAAUAUGUUGUAUCAAUUUUGAUUAUGUUGUUACGUUUUUCCUUUGAACAUGUUGUUAUUUGAAUUUCCGUGUACGUUUGACAAUUUAUCUAUGAAAUGAAAUCGGUU